GAUGAACGCUGGCGGCGUGCCUAAUACAUGCAAGUCGAGCGAACAGACGAGGAGCUUGCUCCUCUGACGUUAGCGGCGGACGGGUGAGUAACACGUGGAUAACCUACCUAUAAGACUGGGAUAACUUCGGGAAACCGGAGCUAAUACCGGAUAAUAUAUUGAACCGCAGGGUUCAAUAGUGAAAGACGGUUUUGCGGUCACUUAUAGAUGGAUCCGCGCCGCAUUAGCUAGUUGGUAAGGUAACGGCUUACCAAGGCAACGAUGCGUAGCCGACCUGAGAGGGUGAUCGGCCACACUGGAACUGAGACACGGUCCAGACUCCUACGGGAGGCAGCAGUAGGGAAUCUUCCGCAAUGGGCGAAAGCCUGACGGAGCAACGCCGCGUGAGUGAUGAAGGUCUUCGGAUCGUAAAACUCUGUUAUUAGGGAAGAACAAAUGUGUAAGUAACUAUGCACGUCUUGACGGUACCUAAUCAGAAAGCCACGGCUAACUACGUG
RNAcentral lists this ribosomal RNA (497 nucleotides) under uncultured bacterium. RNAcentral describes it as "partial 16S ribosomal RNA". It matches the Rfam family "Bacterial small subunit ribosomal RNA", at positions 28 to 507 of the family's 1533-position model. The record is from RNAcentral.